Molecule: ribosomal RNA, 468 nt
Filed under: uncultured bacterium
Lineage: Bacteria
Description: partial 16S ribosomal RNA
Rfam family: Bacterial small subunit ribosomal RNA
Source: RNAcentral
UACGCACGCUGGCGGCGUGCUUAACACAUGCAAGUCGAACGGAAAGGCCCUGCUUUUGUGGGGUGCUCGAGUGGCGAACGGGUGAGUAACACGUGAGUAACCUGCCCUUGACUUUGGGAUAACUUCAGGAAACUGGGGCUAAUACCGGAUAGGAGCUCCUGCUGCAUGGUGGGGGUUGGAAAGUUUCGGCGGUUGGGGAUGGACUCGCGGCUUAUCAGCUUGUUGGUGGGGUAGUGGCUUACCAAGGCUUUGACGGGUAGCCGGCCUGAGAGGGUGACCGGCCACAUUGGGACUGAGAUACGGCCCAGACUCCUACGGGAGGCAGCAGUGGGGAAUAUUGCACAAUGGGCGGAAGCCUGAUGCAGCAACGCCGCGGGCGGGAUGACGGCCUUCGGUUUGUAAACCGCUUUCGCCUGUGACGAAGCGUGAGUGACGGUAAUGGGUAAAGAAGCACCGGCUAACUACGUG